GUAGGGAGCAAGCGUUAUCCGGAUUUACUGGGUGUAAAGGGCGCGUAGGCGGGGAUGCAAGUCAGAUGUGAAAUCUGGGGGCUCAACCCCCAAACUGCAUUUGAAACUGCAUUUCUUGAGUGAUGGAGAGGCAAGCGGAGUUCCUAGUGUAGCGGUGAAAUGCGUAGAUAUUAGGAGGAACACCAGUGGCGAAGGCGGCUUGCUGGACAUUAACUGACGCUGAGGCGCGAAAGCGUGGGGAGCAAACAGGAUUAGAUACCCUGGUAGUCCACGCUGUAAACGAUGAAUACUAGGUGUGAGGGGACUGACCCUYYCCGUGCCGGAGUUAACACAAUAAGUAUUCCACCUGGGAAGUACGAUCGCAAGAUUG
RNAcentral lists this ribosomal RNA (370 nucleotides) under uncultured bacterium. RNAcentral describes it as "bacterial SSU rRNA". It matches the Rfam family "Bacterial small subunit ribosomal RNA", at positions 527 to 896 of the family's 1533-position model. The record is from RNAcentral.